AUCCAACUGACGAGUCCCAACUAGGAUGAAACACAUGUUGUAGAU
This is a non-coding RNA of Schistosoma haematobium, 45 nucleotides long. Lineage: Eukaryota; Metazoa; Platyhelminthes; Trematoda; Strigeidida; Schistosomatidae. The record is from Rfam.